This 114-nucleotide transfer RNA is filed under the name Araneus ventricosus. RNAcentral describes it as "tRNA-Leu". Lineage: Eukaryota; Metazoa; Arthropoda; Arachnida; Araneae; Araneidae. The record is from RNAcentral.
UGUCAGAAGUGGGAUUCGAACCCACGCCCACAUUCGUGGACCAGAACACUCGGCUCUGCCACAGAGCAAGAUUACUCUUGAGUCUGGCGCCUUAGACCGCUCGGCCAUCCUGAC